RNAcentral lists this ribosomal RNA (474 nucleotides) under uncultured bacterium. RNAcentral describes it as "partial 16S ribosomal RNA". It matches the Rfam family "Bacterial small subunit ribosomal RNA", at positions 28 to 507 of the family's 1533-position model. The record is from RNAcentral.
GAUGAACGCUGGCGGCAGGCCUAACACAUGCAAGUCGAGGGAGGAGCCUUCGGGCUUCGACCGGCGUACGGGUGCGUAACGCGUAUACAAUCUGCCUUUCACAUAGGGAUAGCCCGAAGAAAUUUGGAUUAAUACCUAAUCGUAUAUAGAUGUGGCAUCACCUUUAUAUUAAAGCUGAGUCGAUGAAAGAUGAGUAUGCGUUCUAUUAGCUAGUUGGAGAGGUAACGGCUCCCCAAGGCGACGAUAGAUAGGGGUUCUGAGAGGGAUAUCCCCCACACUGGUACUGAGGUCCGGACCAGACUCCUACGGGAGGCAGCAGUGAGGAAUAUUGGACAAUGGUCGGAAGACUGAUCCAGCCAUGCCGCGUGAAGGAAGACUGCCUUCUGGGUUGUAAACUGCUUUUGCAGGGGAAGAAUAAGGACUACGCGUAGUUUGAUGACGGUACUCUGCGAAUAAGCAUCGGCUAACUCCGUG